RNAcentral lists this ribosomal RNA (505 nucleotides) under uncultured bacterium. RNAcentral's name for it is "partial 16S ribosomal RNA". It matches the Rfam family "Bacterial small subunit ribosomal RNA", at positions 28 to 507 of the family's 1533-position model. The record is from RNAcentral.
GACGAACGCUGGCGGCGUGCCUAAUACAUGCAAGUAGAACGCACAGUUUAUACCGUAGCUUGCUACACCAUAGACUGUGAGUUGCGAACGGGUGAGUAACGCGUAGGUAACCUGCCUGGUAGCGGGGGAUAACUAUUGGAAACGAUAGCUAAUACCGCAUAAUAUUGAUUAUUGCAUGAUAAUUAAUUGAAAGGUGCAAUUGCACCACUACCAGAUGGACCUGCGUUGUAUUAGCUAGUAGGUGAGGUAACGGCUCACCUAGGCGACGAUACAUAGCCGACCUGAGAGGGUGAUCGGCCACACUGGGACUGAGACACGGCCCAGACUCCUACGGGAGGCAGCAGUAGGGAAUCUUCGGCAAUGGACGAAAGUCUGACCGAGCAACGCCGCGUGAGUGAAGAAGGUUUUCGGAUCGUAAAGCUCUGUUGUAAGAGAAGAACGGGUGUGAGAGUGGAAAGUUCACACUGUGACGGUAUCUUACCAGAAAGGGACGGCUAACUACAUG